Molecule: signal recognition particle RNA, 299 nt
Filed under: Cavia aperea (Brazilian guinea pig)
Lineage: Eukaryota; Metazoa; Chordata; Mammalia; Rodentia; Caviidae
Description: Metazoan signal recognition particle RNA (ENSCAPG00000002470.1)
Rfam family: Metazoan signal recognition particle RNA
About the family: The signal recognition particle (SRP) is a universally conserved ribonucleoprotein. It is involved in the co-translational targeting of proteins to membranes. The eukaryotic SRP consists of a 300-nucleotide 7S RNA and six proteins: SRPs 72, 68, 54, 19, 14, and 9.
Source: RNAcentral
GCCAGGCGUGGUGGUGCGCGCCUGUAGUCCCAGCUACUCGGGAGGCUGAGGUGGGAGGAUGGCUUGAGUCCAGGAGUUCUGGGCUGCAGUGCGCUAUGCCGAUUGGGUGUCCGCACUAAGAUCAGCAUCAAUAUGGUGACCUCCCGGGAGUGCGGGACCACCAGGUUGCCUAAGGAGGGGUGAACCGGCCCAGGUCGGAAACGGAGCAGGUCAAAACUCCCGUGCUGAUCAGUAGUGGGAUCGCGCCUGUGAAUAGCCACUGCACUCCAGCCUGGGCAAUGUAGUGAGACCCUGUCUCU